This 666-nucleotide long non-coding RNA is filed under the name Elaeis guineensis (African oil palm). RNAcentral's name for it is "long non-coding RNA (EGUI_LNC019213)". The record is from RNAcentral. Lineage: Eukaryota; Viridiplantae; Streptophyta; Magnoliopsida; Arecales; Arecaceae.
GGGAUGAGGAAACUAUGGCACGUCAAGGAUCAGGUGUUACAAAAUGAGAACAUGGGCGUAGGUAAGGGUCUAGGUCCGGCUUUAGGUUGGAGGGUGGACUUGGGCUUUGAGUUGGAGGAGGAAGGUAAACAGUGGAGGGGGAAGACAGGGUGGAGGAGAAGGAAACAGGGGAGGCGGCAAGGGUGGCUAGGGAUGGGGAUGGGUGUGGGAGGAGGGGUUAAGAAUAGGCAUGGGGGUAUGAGGUGAGGAAAUUGGGCAUGCUACAGAGGUGGGGGAUGAGGAAACUAUAGCAUGUCAAGGAUCAGGUGUUACAAAAUGAGAACAUGGGCCUAGGUAAGGGUCAAUGUCCGGCUUUAGGUUGGGGGGUGGACUUGGGCUUUGAGUUGGGCUUCAGAGUCAAUCUUUGAGCUGGGAUUCCAACUCGGACUUGGGUUUCAGGCUGGCCUCGAGUUGUGCCAAGCUUUGCCUUGAAACCAGCCUUGAUACUCUUUUAGACUUUGGAUGCCAUGAUUAGCCCCAAACCCAUAGCCUUUUAGGCCAAGCCCAAAGCACAUCUCGAAUCCAACCUAGCGCAGCCCAUUUUUAGCCCUACGUCAUAUUCUUAUAGUUGGCUUAUGAUAAUAUCAAAUCAAAGCAGAUCCCAGAAAAAUCUUCCCCAAACUAUUC